RNAcentral lists this unclassified non-coding RNA (513 nucleotides) under Hevea brasiliensis (rubber tree). The record is from RNAcentral. Lineage: Eukaryota; Viridiplantae; Streptophyta; Magnoliopsida; Malpighiales; Euphorbiaceae.
AAAAAAUUUUCAGACGGUGUUGAUAAUGUUCCAAAGCAUUGUGCUCCAAGCUCGAUAUUUUCAGCCAGAGGACUCCCGAUUUUCCGAGGAGGAAGGAUAUCAGAACCAAUCCCGAAAAAAGGAUCCUGUGAGCUAGAGAAGGUAAAGUUCCCACCGGACUGCAAUUGGGUGGUCACCCAUGUCUUAACAGACAUGCUGAGGCCCUGGUUCACAAGAACAAUGUUCGAGUCCAGCACAUUAACAUACAGAGUAGCUGACGGACAACUGCUUGCACAUGAAACCAUUGACGUUAGGUUGAUAGAACCAGGGGCAAAUCGUAGAGGAUGAGCAAUUGGAAUCGGAGGUCCUCUUCUCGGAUGUUUCUUCCGGAAAAGUUGAAUUGGUGUUUGACCAAAGUUGGCAAUUUGAUCUUCUAUGGCAGACCUUUGCAAUUCAUCAUCCAUGGUAUCCAGAUCCACAGCAUCUUCAUAUGUCAAAUAGUAAAAAAUAUUUGCUGCCUCAACUGCUGGUUUU